This is a non-coding RNA of Paramuricea clavata, 240 nucleotides long. The record is from the annotation of a GenBank genome assembly. NCBI's taxonomy places the organism in Eukaryota, Metazoa, Cnidaria, Anthozoa, Malacalcyonacea, Plexauridae.
AAUAUAUAUCUCUAGCGCGGUCAAGCGCUUUUUACUCUUCUGGUGGACAAAGGAAUACGUUGGCUCAAGUACCGAUAUGUGAUUCAGGGAGACGUAGUUUAUUCAAACAUAACUCUGCGCGGGCAAGGACGUGUACUCGUUUGGUGGACAAAAGAAUACGUUGGCUCAAGUAUCGAUGUACGAUCCAGUGAGACGCAGUUUAUCCAAUAUAACUCUACCGUGGUCAGUGCUUUUACUCUU